RNAcentral lists this ribosomal RNA (446 nucleotides) under uncultured organism. RNAcentral describes it as "partial 16S ribosomal RNA". It matches the Rfam family "Bacterial small subunit ribosomal RNA", at positions 335 to 797 of the family's 1533-position model. The record is from RNAcentral.
ACUCCUACGGGAGGCAGCAGUGGGGAAUAUUGGACAAUGGGCGCAAGCCUGAUCCAGCCAUGCCGCGUGAGUGAUGAAGGCCCUAGGGUUGUAAAGCUCUUUCACCGGUGAAGAUAAUGACGGUAACCGGAGAAGAAGCCCCGGCUAACUUCGUGCCAGCAGCCGCGGUAAUACGAAGGGGGCUAGCGUUGUUCGGAUUUACUGGGCGUAAAGCGCACGUAGGCGGACUAUUAAGUCAGGGGUGAAAUCCCGGGGCUCAACCCCGGAACUGCCUUUGAUACUGGUAGUCUUGAGUUCGAGAGAGGUGAGUGGAAUUCCGAGUGUAGAGGUGAAAUUCGUAGAUAUUCGGAGGAACACCAGUGGCGAAGGCGGCUCACUGGCUCGAUACUGACGCUGAGGUGCGAAAGCGUGGGGAGCAAACAGGAUUAGAAACCCGAGUAGUCCCA